RNAcentral lists this ribosomal RNA (700 nucleotides) under Alteromonas sp. 35F10. RNAcentral describes it as "bacterial SSU rRNA". It matches the Rfam family "Bacterial small subunit ribosomal RNA", at positions 211 to 903 of the family's 1533-position model. The record is from RNAcentral. Lineage: Bacteria; Pseudomonadati; Pseudomonadota; Gammaproteobacteria; Alteromonadales; Alteromonadaceae.
GCUCCGGCGCAAAGAGAGGCCCAAGUGAGAUUAGCUAGUUGGUAAGGUAACGGCUUACCAAGGCGACGAUCUCUAGCUGUUCUGAGAGGAAGAUCAGCCACACUGGGACUGAGACACGGCCCAGACUCCUACGGGAGGCAGCAGUGGGGAAUAUUGCACAAUGGGGGAAACCCUGAUGCAGCCAUGCCGCGUGUGUGAAGAAGGCCUUCGGGUUGUAAAGCACUUUCAGUUGUGAGGAAAAGUUAGUAGUUAAUACCUGCUAGCCGUGACGUUAACAACAGAAGAAGCACCGGCUAACUCCGUGCCAGCAGCCGCGGUAAUACGGAGGGUGCGAGCGUUAAUCGGAAUUACUGGGCGUAAAGCGCACGCAGGCGGUUUGUUAAGCUAGAUGUGAAAGCCCCGGGCUCAACCUGGGAUGGUCAUUUAGAACUGGCAGACUAGAGUCUUGGAGAGGGGAGUGGAAUUCCAGGUGUAGCGGUGAAAUGCGUAGAUAUCUGGAGGAACAUCAGUGGCGAAGGCGACUCCCUGGCCAAAGACUGACGCUCAUGUGCGAAAGUGUGGGUAGCGAACAGGAUUAGAUACCCUGGUAGUCCACACCGUAAACGCUGUCUACUAGCUGUGUGUGCCUUUAAGGCGUGCGUAGCGAAGCUAACGCGCUAAGUAGACCGCCUGGGGAGUACGGCCGCAAGGUUAAAACUCA